This 319-nucleotide ribosomal RNA is filed under the name uncultured Thermicanus sp. RNAcentral describes it as "bacterial SSU rRNA". It matches the Rfam family "Bacterial small subunit ribosomal RNA", at positions 28 to 334 of the family's 1533-position model. Lineage: Bacteria; Bacillati; Bacillota; Bacilli; Thermicanales; Thermicanaceae. The record is from RNAcentral.
GACGAACGCUGGCGGCGUGCCUAAUACAUGCAAGUCGAACGGUUUAGUUCCAAGAGGCUUGCCUUUUGGAACUAGACAGUGGCGGACGGGUGAGUAACACGUAGGCAACCUACCUGUCAAACCGGGAUAACCUCGGGAAACCGAAGCUAAACCCGGAUAAGCUCCUUUUUCGCAUGAAGGGGGAGUGAAAAGGUGCGACCUGAUGACAGAUGGGCCUGCGGCGCAUUAGCUAGUAGGUAGGGUAACGGCCUACCUAGGCGAUGAUGCGUAGCCGACCUGAGAGGGCGUACGGCCACACUGGGACUGAGAUACGGCCCAG